Molecule: ribosomal RNA, 497 nt
Filed under: uncultured bacterium
Lineage: Bacteria
Description: partial 16S ribosomal RNA
Rfam family: Bacterial small subunit ribosomal RNA
Source: RNAcentral
GAUGAACGCUGGCGGCGUGCCUAAUACAUGCAAGUCGAGCGAACAGAUGAGGAGCUUGCUCCUCUGACGUUAGCGGCGGACGGGUGAGUAACACGUGGAUAACCUACCUAUAAGACUGGGAUAACUUCGGGAAACCGGAGCUAAUACCGGAUAAUAUAUUGAACCGCAUGGUUCAAUAGUGAAAGACGGUUUUGCUGUCACUUAUAGAUGGAUCCGCGCCGCAUUAGCUAGUUGGUAAGGUAACGGCUUACCAAGGCAACGAUGCGCAGCCGACCUAAGAGGGUGAUCGGCCACACUGGAACUGAGACACGGUCCAGACUCCUACGGGAGGCAGCAGUAGGGAAUCUUCCGCAAUGGGCGAAAGCCUGACGGAGCAACGCCGCGUGAGUGAUGAAGGUCUUCGGAUCGUAAAACUCUGUUAUUAGGGAAGAACAAAUGUGUAAGUAACUAUGCACGUCUUGACGGUACCUAAUCAGAAAGCCACGGCUAACUACGUG